RNAcentral lists this unclassified non-coding RNA (380 nucleotides) under soil metagenome. Its description in RNAcentral is "partial contains 5.8S ribosomal RNA, internal transcribed spacer 2, and large subunit ribosomal RNA". The stretch from base 1 to 120 matches the Rfam family "5.8S ribosomal RNA", at positions 35 to 154 of the family's 154-position model. The record is from RNAcentral.
GAUGAAGAACGCAGCGAAAUGCGAUAAGUAAUGUGAAUAGCAGAAUUCAGUGAAUCAUCGAAUCUUUGAACGCACCUUGCACCCUUUGGCAUUCUGAAGGGUAUGCUCGUUUGAGUGUCAUUGUACUCUCACACUCCCGAUCUUUGCAUUGGGAGCAGUGGACUUGGGUUUGCUGCUUCACCGUCGCUUACCUCAAAUAGGUUAGUGCAACUCUUGGUUGGACAUAGUACGGCGUGAUAAGUGUUCUUCGCCGGUGCCUCGCAAAGAGGGUGGCCGAUCGGGAUGUUGUGCUCCAAACCGUCUUCGGACAAUCUCUGACGACUUGACCUCAAAUCGAGUAAGACUACCCGCUGAACUUAAGCAUAUCAAUAAGCGGAGGA